Molecule: transfer RNA, 72 nt
Filed under: Bos taurus (domestic cattle)
Lineage: Eukaryota; Metazoa; Chordata; Mammalia; Artiodactyla; Bovidae
Also listed under: 2 other names
Rfam family: tRNA
About the family: Transfer RNA (tRNA) molecules are approximately 80 nucleotides in length. Their secondary structure includes four short double-helical elements and three loops (D, anti-codon, and T loops).
Source: Rfam by way of RNAcentral
UCCCUGGUGGCUCAGAUGAUAAAGAAUCUGCCUGCAGUGCAGGAGAUGCAGGAUCGAUCCCUGGCUUGGGAA